AAAGGGAGACCUAAUUCAGGUAAGAGACGAAAAAAAAGUAGUCCCUACCAGGAAUCAAUCCCAAAAGGUCGGAGCGAGGCGAAAUUGGCUUUCAAACUAGGUUCUGGGUUCAAACAAGACCUGAAUCAGGAACAAGGGCUAUUAGCUCAGGUGGUUAGAGCGCACCCCUGAUAAGGGUGAGGUCCCUGGUUCGAGUCCAGGAUGGCCCACCUGCACAGGUGGCAAAAACAAGAGAAGCGAGGAAUCAGCACCUUAUCUUAUAUACAUAUAUAAGAGAGAAUGCUGGCUCUGAGUACAGAGUCCAGAGGAACCUUGAAAACUGCAUAGAGCUAGGUGAAAAAGCCAAAAAAGAAGACCGCAAG
RNAcentral lists this transfer RNA (362 nucleotides) under uncultured Microcystis sp. RNAcentral describes it as "partial 16S-23S ribosomal RNA intergenic spacer". The stretch from base 136 to 209 matches the Rfam family "tRNA". Lineage: Bacteria; Bacillati; Cyanobacteriota; Cyanophyceae; Chroococcales; Microcystaceae. The record is from RNAcentral.